GACGAACGCUGGCGGCGUGCUUAACACAUGCAAGUCGUACGGUAAGGCCCUUUCGGGGGUACACGAGUGGCGAACGGGUGAGUAACACGUGAGUAACCUGCCCACAACUUUGGGAUAACGCUAGGAAACUGGUGCUAAUACUGGAUAUGUGCUCCUGCUGCAUGGUGGGGGUUGGAAAGCUCCGGCGGUUGUGGAAGGACUCGCGGCCUAUCAGCUUGUUGGUGGGGUAGUGGCCUACCAAGGCGGCGACGGGUAGCCGGCCUGAGAGGGUGACCGGCCACAUUGGGACUGAGAUACGGCCCAGACUCCUACGGGAGGCAGCAGUGGGGAAUAUUGCACAAUGGGCGCAAGCCUGAUGCAGCAACGCCGCGUGCGGGAUGACGGCCUUCGGGUUGUAAACCGCUUUCAGCAGGGACGAAGCUUUUUGUGACGGUACCUGCAGAAGAAGCACCGGCUAACUACGUG
RNAcentral lists this ribosomal RNA (465 nucleotides) under uncultured bacterium. Its description in RNAcentral is "partial 16S ribosomal RNA". It matches the Rfam family "Bacterial small subunit ribosomal RNA", at positions 28 to 507 of the family's 1533-position model. The record is from RNAcentral.